RNAcentral lists this ribosomal RNA (174 nucleotides) under uncultured bacterium. RNAcentral's name for it is "partial 16S ribosomal RNA". It matches the Rfam family "Bacterial small subunit ribosomal RNA", at positions 1319 to 1500 of the family's 1533-position model. The record is from RNAcentral.
CAUGAAGCUGGAUUCGCUAGUAAUCGCGCAUCAGCCACGGCGCGGUGAAUACGUUCCCGGGCCUUGUACACACCGCCCGUCAAGCCAUGGAAGCCGGGAGUGCCUGAAGUGCGUGAGCGCAAGCAGCGCCCUAAGGUAAAACCGGUGACUGGGGCUAAGUCGUAACAAGGUAGC